This 164-nucleotide ribosomal RNA is filed under the name Ixodes auritulus. RNAcentral's name for it is "partial 16S ribosomal RNA". The record is from RNAcentral. Lineage: Eukaryota; Metazoa; Arthropoda; Arachnida; Ixodida; Ixodidae.
CCCUGAUGCACAAGGUACUACCCAAAACUUUUUAACAUUUUAUUUUUUCAAAAUUUUCAAAAUUUCCUUCACAGUACACUCUAUUUAUAUUUCAAUAUAAUUAUACAUUUUAAUAAAACUUUUUAAAAAAAAAUUACUCUUAAAAUAAAAUAUUUAUUCAAUAU